This 74-nucleotide transfer RNA is filed under the name Scleropages formosus (Asian bonytongue). It matches the Rfam family "tRNA". Rfam says of the family: Transfer RNA (tRNA) molecules are approximately 80 nucleotides in length. Their secondary structure includes four short double-helical elements and three loops (D, anti-codon, and T loops). Further hydrogen bonds mediate the characteristic L-shaped molecular structure. tRNAs have two regions of fundamental functional importance: the anti-codon, which is responsible for specific mRNA codon recognition, and the 3' end, to which the tRNAs corresponding amino acid is attached (by aminoacyl-tRNA synthetases). tRNAs cope with the degeneracy of the genetic code in two manners: having more than one tRNA (with a specific anti-codon) for a particular amino acid; and 'wobble' base-pairing, i.e. permitting non-standard base-pairing at the 3rd anti-codon position. Lineage: Eukaryota; Metazoa; Chordata; Actinopteri; Osteoglossiformes; Osteoglossidae. The record is from Rfam by way of RNAcentral.
GGUAUUGCAUCUUCGCUGGUCAAAGUGGCUGUCUAGUAAACAGGAGAUUCUGGGUUUGAAUCUCAGCAGUACCU